AGAGUUUGAUCCUGGCUCAGGAUGAAUGCUAGCGGUGUGCCUGAGAUAUGCAAGUCGAGCGCUUCUUUGACCGCAAGGUUGAAGAGGAGCGGCGGACGGCUGAGUAAUAUAUAGGAAUCUGCCCCUUAGUGGAACAUAGCUCCGAGAAAUCGGGGGUAAUUUUCCAUAGUAUCUCGCUCUGCGAGAUUGAAAGCCUUUACCGGUUGCUAAGGGAUGAGCCUGUAUCCUAUCAGGUUGUUGGUAGAGUAAUAGCCUACCAAGCCUAUGACGGGUAGCUGAUCUGGGAGGAUGAUCAGCCAGAGGGGGACUGAGACACGGCCCCCACUCCUACGGGAGGCAGCAAUCAGGAAUAGUCGGCAAUGGGCGAAAGCCUGACCGCGCGACACCGCGUGUAGGAUUAAGGUAUUAUUUAUCGUAAACUACUGUUGGAGGGGAAGAAGAUCGUCGUAAGACGGUUUGACGGUACCCUCCGAGAAAGGAGCCGCUAACUGCGUGCCAGAAGCGUCGGUAAUACGUGGGCUUCAAGCAUUAUCCGGUUUUAUUGGGCGUAAAGGGUCGUGUAGGCGGUUUGAUAAGGUAUCUUUGAAAGCUCGAUGCUCAACAUCGAGUUGGGGAUACAACUGUCAUGACUAGAAUUUCUUUAAGGGUAAUCGGAACUCAAAGAGGAGUAGUGAAAUGCGUUGAUACUUUGGGGAACACCAAUGGCGAAGGCAGAUUACUGGAAGGAAAUUGACGCUGAGACACGAAAGCUAGGGGAGCGAAGCAGAUUAGAGACCUGCGUAGUCCUAGCCGUAAACGAAUGUCUGCUACCUGCAUUUUCAUUGUGCCGUAAGGUACGAUAAGGUGUGGGAAAGGUAACCCGUUAAGCAGAUCGCCUGGGGAGUACUGCCGCAAGGUUAAAACUCAAAGGAAUUGGCGGGGAGGCACACAACCAGUGGAACAUGUGGUUCAAUUUGAUACAAACCAAAGAACCUCACCAAGUCUUGACAUGCUAGCGUCCAGUUUCCUGGAAACAGGGAAUGUUCGCAAGAAGGCUAGCACAGGUGCUGCAUGGCUGUCGUCAGCUCGUUCCGUGAGGAGUGCCCUUAAGUGGGACAACGA
Molecule: ribosomal RNA, 1101 nt
Filed under: uncultured Microgenomates group bacterium
Lineage: Bacteria
Description: bacterial SSU rRNA
Rfam family: Bacterial small subunit ribosomal RNA
Source: RNAcentral